This 781-nucleotide ribosomal RNA is filed under the name uncultured Neocallimastigales. RNAcentral's name for it is "partial large subunit ribosomal RNA". It matches the Rfam family "Eukaryotic large subunit ribosomal RNA", at positions 24 to 642 of the family's 3401-position model. Lineage: Eukaryota; Fungi; Neocallimastigomycota; Neocallimastigomycetes; Neocallimastigales. The record is from RNAcentral.
UAUCUCUGUAGAGUCUGCAUAUCAAUAAGCGGAGGAAAAGAAACUAACAAGGAUUCCCUCAGUAACGGCGAGUGAAGCGGGAAGAGCUCAAAUUUGAAAUCUUAAAGGGUUCUACCUUGACGAAUUGUAGUUUAAAGAAGUGUUUUCUGUUGAGGUUUUGGUAAAAGUUCUUUGGAAUAGGACAUCAUAGAGGGUGAGAAUCCCGUAUUUGACCAUUUACUUUCAGCUUUGUGAUACACUUUCAAAGAGUCGGAUUGUUUGGGAAUGCAGUCCAAAAUGGGUGGUAAAUUUCAUCUAAAGCUAAAUACAUUGGCGAGAGACCGAUAGCGAACAAGUACCGUGAGGGAAAGAUGAAAAGAACUUUGAAAAGAGAGUUAAACAGUACGUGAAAUUGUCAAAAGGGAAGCGUUUGACACCAGUGUUGUUUUCUCGAAAAUCAAUUAAGAAUGGCAUGAUUUUGUGUUGUAUUGACCUUUAUCAGCUUUCUUCACUCUUUUCGAUGUCUUUUUUAAUGCACUUUUCGGUUAACAAGUCAACAUCAAUUUCUUUUGUUGUAAAAGAGUCAUUCGGAAGGUGGCUUUCUUUUCGGAGAAAGUGUUUAUAGCCCUUAUGCCUCUACAAUCGGAGAGAUUGAGGUCUGCAGCGUAGAUCCUUCGGGGUUAGAUACAUUUGUGCUAAGUUAUAGCUUUUCAUAGACAACUUGUUGACUAUGUUUAGUCUUGUAGCUUACUCGCUUAUGCUAUUUUACCUACGCUUAGGAUGUUGAAGAUGUAGCACAUCA